RNAcentral lists this ribosomal RNA (1122 nucleotides) under Staphylococcus sp. RNAcentral's name for it is "bacterial SSU rRNA". It matches the Rfam family "Bacterial small subunit ribosomal RNA", at positions 69 to 1159 of the family's 1533-position model. The record is from RNAcentral. Lineage: Bacteria; Bacillati; Bacillota; Bacilli; Caryophanales; Staphylococcaceae.
AAAGGAAGGCCUUGCUCCUUUUGACGUUAGCGGCGGACGGGUGAGUAACACGUGGAUAACCUACCUAUAAGACUGGGAUAACUUCGGGAAACCGGAGCUAAUACCGGAUAACAUAUUGAACCGCAUGGUUCAAUAGUGAAAGGCGGCUUUGCUGUCACUUAUAGAUGGAUCCGCGCCGUAUUAGCUAGUUGGUAAGGUAACGGCUUACCAAGGCAACGAUACGUAGCCGACCUGAGAGGGUGAUCGGCCACACUGGAACUGAGACACGGUCCAGACUCCUACGGGAGGCAGCAGUAGGGAAUCUUCCGCAAUGGGCGAAAGCCUGACGGAGCAACGCCGCGUGAGUGAUGAAGGUCUUCGGAUCGUAAAACUCUGUUAUCAGGGAAGAACAAAUGUGUAAGUAACUGUGCACAUCUUGACGGUACCUGAUCAGAAAGCCACGGCUAACUACGUGCCAGCAGCCGCGGUAAUACGUAGGUGGCAAGCGUUAUCCGGAAUUAUUGGGCGUAAAGCGCGCGUAGGCGGUUUUUUAAGUCUGAUGUGAAAGCCCACGGCUCAACCGUGGAGGGUCAUUGGAAACUGGAAAACUUGAGUGCAGAAGAGGAAAGUGGAAUUCCAUGUGUAGCGGUGAAAUGCGCAGAGAUAUGGAGGAACACCAGUGGCGAAGGCGACUUUCUGGUCUGUAACUGACGCUGAUGUGCGAAAGCGUGGGGAUCAAACAGGAUUAGAUACCCUGGUAGUCCACGCCGUAAACGAUGAGUGCUAAGUGUUAGGGGGUUUCCGCCCCUUAGUGCUGCAGCUAACGCAUUAAGCACUCCGCCUGGGGAGUACGACCGCAAGGUUGAAACUCAAAGGAAUUGACGGGGACCCGCACAAGCGGUGGAGCAUGUGGUUUAAUUCGAAGCAACGCGAAGAAACCUUACCAAAUCUUGACAUCCUUUGACCGCUCUAGAGAUAGAGUUUUCCCCUUUCAGGGGGACAAAAGUGACAAGGUGGGUGCAUGGCUUGUCGGUCAGCUCGUGUCGUGAGAUGUUUGAUUAAAGUUCCCCGCACGAGGCGGCAAUCCCUUAAGGCUUAGUUGCAUUCCAUAAGGAUUGGCACUCUAAGAUGACUUGCCGAGUU